Molecule: ribosomal RNA, 443 nt
Filed under: uncultured bacterium
Lineage: Bacteria
Description: partial 16S ribosomal RNA
Rfam family: Bacterial small subunit ribosomal RNA
Source: RNAcentral
CCUACGGGUGGCUGCAGUGGGGAAUAUUGGGCAAUGGGCGCAAGCCUGACCCAGCAACGCCGCGUGAAGGAUGAAGGCCCUCGGGUUGUAAACCUCUUUUAUUCGGGACGAAACAAAUGACGGUACCGCAUGAAUAAGUCACCGCUAACUACGUGCCAGCAGCCGCGGUAAUACGUAGGUGGCAAGCGUUAUCCGGAUUUACUGGGUGUAAAGGGCGGGUAGGCGGGAGGGCAAGUCAGACGUGAAAUUCCCGGGAUCAACCCUGGAACUGCGUUUGAAACUGGUAUUCUUGAGUGUUGGAGAGGCAGGCGGAAUUCGGGGUGUAGCGGUGAAAUGCGUAGAUAUACGGAGGAACACCAGUGGCGAAGGCGGCCAGCUGGACAUUAACUGACGCUGAGGCGCGAAAGCGUGGGUAGCAAACAGGAUUAGAUACCCGAGUAGUC